Molecule: ribosomal RNA, 301 nt
Filed under: uncultured bacterium
Lineage: Bacteria
Description: partial 16S ribosomal RNA
Rfam family: Bacterial small subunit ribosomal RNA
Source: RNAcentral
CAGUCGCCACGGUAAUACAGAGGGUGCGAGCGUUAAUCGGAUUUACUGGGCGUAAAGCGUGCGUAGGCGGCUUUUUAAGUCGGAUGUGAAAUCCCUGAGCUUAACUUAGGAAUUGCAUUCGAUACUGGGAAGCUAGAGUAUGGGAGAGGAUGGUAGAAUUCCAGGUGUAGCGGUGAAAUGCGUAGAGAUCUGGAGGAAUACCGAUGGCGAAGGCAGCCAUCUGGCCUAAUACUGACGCUAAGGUACGAAAGCAUGGGGAGCAAACAGGAUUAGAUACCCGCGUAGUCCCUGUCUCUUAUAC